Lactuca sativa (garden lettuce) is the source of this 1570-nucleotide non-coding RNA. The record is from RefSeq and is a predicted model, not a curated record. Lineage: Eukaryota; Viridiplantae; Streptophyta; Magnoliopsida; Asterales; Asteraceae.
UUCUUUACUUCCUCUUGUUUCCUUCUAAUCAUCACCAGCUAUCUCCGAAGGUAUCUAUCUCCCUGGUAUUUUGUUUUUGCAAUGUUUUGACCACGGGCAAAAAGUUCGCUCGUUCUCGUGCUAGUAUCAUCGCCCCUUCUGAUAAUGACUUCAUCGAUCAAAAGAUCUUGGCCUAUAAUGAUACUUGCUCCUUUGAUGAUGAGGAUAUCGUGUCCCUAAGAGCUAACGAUGAUUUUCCCACAGAUACAAUUUGUAAGACAUAUGAUGCUUUGAUUCAGUCGCACUUUGUUUCCCUGUAUUAUGUAUGUUUCCUUGAAUACUCUUUUUCUUUGUGUUUGAAAUACCCUUUCCCUGGAUCAUUUGGGAGUUUUAAAAAAAAUUAUUUUUUUUUGAAAUCACUAAGAUCUCGUAUAUCCAGGCUAUGCCUGUUAUCUGGAGAAUAUUAUUGUGGAUCAACCAGUUGAACCAAUCCAAUGAUAUGGGUUUACGCUUAGCUAAACUGGCUCAUGUUUAUGAUCUUUCAAUCUUUGCGAACUCCUUUUUUCUGCUGAAGGUUAAAACCUAUAAAUAUCCUCUUGUUCUGAAAUAAAAACAUGUGAGCCAUGACUCUAUUCUUGGCGGGGAUCUCCUGCCAAAAACUUGGGUUAAAGAGGGUAGGAUUUACUUGUUACUUCUAAGGAUACUAAGAUUCACUUUCUUAUUUAGUUUAUUGUGAUUCAACAUUCAAGUUUGAAGAAUUUUCUCCUGCUACUGAGGAUACCGAAGAAAAAGUUACAAAAUUUCUUAGUUUUCCUAUGGCUGAUAAGUCUUUCAAUCUUGAACACUCCAGUCUUCAAGCUUCAAUGGCUAUCGUGGUAUGAUCAUGGUUAAGAAGGAAAAAGUUCCCUCCCCUCUUCCUCCUAAGAGGGUGCAAGUUGAUAUCAAUAUAAAGACCUCUAGUUCCCAGAAGAGGAAAACUUUUAAGGCCACAGAUCUGAGCCUAGGAAAUCUAGGAGCCAAGGAGGCACUCAGGAAGCUAGUCUCUUUUUCUCAACCUGUCACCAACGACAUUUCUUGGUCUACUGUUGAUUUGAAGGUCAAGGCUGAGAAGGCCGAGCUAGCCUCAAAGGAGCAGGUGAGGGUAUGUAUGGCCAACAAUGAGGAUCUCCUAAUGAGGGUGGCGCCACUGAGCAAAUAGAAGGCUACAAAAGAGGCAGAGCAUGUAACAGAGAUUACAGAGGUGAUUCCUAAGGUGAAGGGUAACGCUGUUGUCCCCGUUUAGGAAGUGAAGAUCGAACUUGCGGAGGAUGUGGCUAAUGCGGGGUCCUAGAAUGUUGCUGGUUGGCAUGAAGCCCUAGCAAAAUUAAAUGGCGAGCCUAUUUACACCAAUCAGGAUCCUACAGGGCAACUAAAGGUGGGAGGAAGGGAGAAAGAAGUAAAGAAGGUUUCAGGUCAUGGAAAUCAGGCCAUAAUUUAUGUUUGAUUUAAAAAACACUUAGAAUGCUUUUUUUUGGGUUGUAAGAUAUUUUUUUAUUCUUUUUUGGUGAGGUUGGUGGGCAACCGCUUUUAUAUGAUGCUGUGAUUAUUUAUA